This is a long non-coding RNA of Oreochromis niloticus (Nile tilapia), 139 nucleotides long. RefSeq lists it as uncharacterized. The record is from RefSeq and is a predicted model, not a curated record. NCBI's taxonomy places the organism in Eukaryota, Metazoa, Chordata, Actinopteri, Cichliformes, Cichlidae. The transcript is spliced from 2 exons.
GCAAGUUGUGGACUUGAGUUGAAUCGGACUAAGGCGGGCAAGAGUGCGUUCAUAGAACCAAACCACAUCCUUACUUGCCAGCGAGAGUGUGUGUUCGAUGUGGGCUCGUGGCAAAUAAAGUUCUUCCACUCUGACAUCA